Molecule: long non-coding RNA, 610 nt
Organism: Polistes canadensis
Lineage: Eukaryota; Metazoa; Arthropoda; Insecta; Hymenoptera; Vespidae
Exons: 4
Source: RefSeq, a predicted model, not a curated record
GGACAAUAAUAAUUUGUAUAUAUAUAACAAUCCAAGGCCGUCAGAUGGAGUAUCUGUAUUAUCAUCUGCAUUAGUUUGGCUGAAGAUUCAGACUUAUUUAAUCGCAGAUAAAUCGAUAUCACGAAGAAAAGGUGACACCAUUGUCAAAUUAACCGCAAACCCUAAUUUUACUAUCACUUAUUAAAAUGCGUAUUGGCAAAAAACACAUUGAAAUAUUAGGAAGUUGGAUGCCAUCUGUAAUGGGAUAUGGAACAGCAGCAGGGCUUACUUUUCUUUAUUUUACGGAUUGGAAAGUAAUUAAUCGAUAUAUUCCUUUUUAUGGAGGAAAAUUUGAUGAAUAAAAUGUAUUGUUAUUUAAUAUCUGCUAUAUAGAUGUAAUAAUUGUAUUGCAAAUUUGUGAAGUCAUUUAAUGACGAAGUUAUUUGCUCUAAUAUAUAUACAUGUAUACUAAUACAACAAUGUAUUAUUUAGACUCACUUCUAUAUAUUAUAUUAGCAAAUUCUUCAGAUUCUUUUAGUCUCUUGUUAUUUACAUACGGUAUUAAUUUUAAUCUGUUGAAAAGAAAUGAAUUCAUUAACCAACAUUAAUGGAAUAAAGCAGUGAUAGAUCA